RNAcentral lists this ribosomal RNA (1461 nucleotides) under uncultured bacterium. RNAcentral describes it as "16S ribosomal RNA". It matches the Rfam family "Bacterial small subunit ribosomal RNA". The record is from RNAcentral.
UUAGAGUUUGAUCCUUGCUCAGGAUGAACGCUGGCGGCGUGCUUAACACAUGCAAGUCGAACGGGGUACCCAUGACAGAGGCUUCGGCCAAUUGAUUGGAAUACCUAGUGGCGGACGGGUGAGUAACGCGUGAGCAAUCUGCCUUGGAGUGGGGAAUAACAGUUGGAAACAGCUGCUAAUACCGCAUAAUACAGUUGUGUCGCAUGGCACUGACUGUCAAAGAUUUAUCGCUCUGAGAUGAGCUCGCGUCUGAUUAGCUAGUUGGUGAGGUAACGGCUCACCAAGGCGACGAUCAGUAGCCGGACUGAGAGGUUGGCCGGCCACAUUGGGACUGAGACACGGCCCAGACUCCCACGGGAGGCAGCAGUGGGGAAUAUUGGGCAAUGGGCGCAAGCCUGACCCAGCAACGCCGCGUGAAGGAAGAAGGCUUUCGGGUUGUAAACUUCUUUUCUGAGGGACGAUAGUGACGGUACCUCAGGAAUAAGCCACGGCUAACUACGUGCCAGCAGCCGCGGUAAUACGUAGGUGGCAAGCGUUAUCCGGAUUUACUGGGUGUAAAGGGCGUGUAGGCGGGAUGGUAAGUCAGAUGUGAAAACUAUGGGCUCAACCCAUAGCCUGCAUUUGAAACUAUCGUUCUUGAGUGUUGGAGAGGCAGGCGGGAUUCCGUGUGUAGCGGUGAAAUGCGUAGAUAUACGGAGGAACACCAGUGGCGAAGGCGGCCUGCUGGACAAUAACUGACGCUGAGGCGCGAAAGCGUGGGGAGCAAACAGGAUUAGAUACCCUGGUAGUCCACGCUGUAAACGAUGGAUACUAGGUGUGGGGGGUCUGACCCCCUCCGUCGUGCAGUUAACACAAUUAGUAUCCCCACUUGGGGAAGUACGAUCGCAAAGGGUUGAAACUCAAAGGGAAUUGACGGGGGCCCGCACAAGCGGUGGAGUAUGUGGUUUAAUUCGAAGCAACGCGAAGAACCUUACCAGGGCUUGACAUGGGGAUGACCGGACUAGAGAUAGUCUUUUCCCUUCGGGGCCAUCCCACACAGGUGGUGCAUGGUUGUCGUCAGCUCGUGUCGUGAGAUGUUGGGUUAAGUCCCGCAACGAGCGCAACCCUUAUUGUUAGUUGCUACGCAAGAGCACUCUAGCGAGACUGCCGUUGACAAAACGGAGGAAGGUGGGGACGACGUCAAAUCAUCAUGCCCCUUAUGUCCAGGGCCACACACGUACUACAAUGGUGGUCAACAGAGGGAAGCAAUACCGUGAGGUGGAGCAAAUCCCUAAAAGCCAUCCCAGUUCGGAUCGCAGGCUGAAACCCGCCUGCGUGAAGUUGGAAUCGCUAGUAAUCGCGGAUCAGCAUGCCGCGGUGAAUACGUUCCCGGGCCUUGUACACACCGCCCGUCACACCAUGAGAGUCGGGAACACCCGAAGUCCGUAGUCUAACCGCAAGGGGGACGCGGCCGAAGGUGGG